AUGCCAUUGGUCUUCGAGAUUUUAACACUGGAGCAUAGAGGAGGUCAGUCUCUACUGACUGCUGAACAUCCAACACGUGACACCCAGGAGUUGUCUACCACCAUGUUUUGGACUAAGGGAAAAAAGCAGAAUUCGGAAAAAUGCAACAUCAUGGAAGUUCCAGGAUGUCUGAAACCAGAGCACUGUAGCCACAAACAUCAGAACACAAACACACUGUCCUCCAGGAUGGCCUGCUUGGCCAGCCUCCCCCACCAUACUACUGCAGCCUCACCAGCCAGGUAUGGGAACCCUUACAAAGAGGCCACAGGGACUGCCAACAAUCUCUUGAGGGACAGCCAUAAGAAGCAUCUAUCGUUAGGCAACCAGACUAUAUGGUCAGUCACUGUGAAUCUUUGGUAAAGUGAGUGGCCACUGCUAAAUAGUCUCCUCACUCACCCAAGGCAUUUUUCCCCAAACAUGUUCCUUAGAACACCAGUUACAUAAAAUACUCCAUUUAAAAAAAAACAAAAAAUAAAAAAAACAUGGUUUUUAUGUCCUCCCCUCUUGCAGAGUCACAAAUUAAAGCCUGUAAGAAGCUGUCAGAUGAAAAAAUCUGUUUCUCCGUGUUGAGAGUUGAAUUGUAUUCCCCCCAAGUAGAUAUGUUCAAGUCCUAAGCCCUGCUACCUGUAAAUGUGACCUUAUUUGGAAAUAGAGUCUUUGCAGAUGUCAUCAAGUUAAAAUGAGAUCAUACUGGAGUAGGUUGUCUCUAAAUCCAAUGAGUAGUGUCUUUAUAAGUGGAGAAGAAAAAAGAUACAGACACACAGGGGGAAUAUCAUGGGAAGAAAGAGGCAGAGAUUGGAGUGAUGCAGCUCCAAGCCAAGGAAUGCCAAGGAUUCUGGCAGCCACCAGAAGCCAGGAGAAGGCAUGGAACACAUUCUCCCUCUGAGCCCCAAGAAGGAGCCAGCCCUGCUGACACUUUGAUUUUGGACUCCCAGCCUCCAGAACUGUAAGAGAAUACAUUUCUCUUGUUUUAAGCCACUUAGUUUAUUGUGCUUUGCUGUGGCAGCCCUAGGAAGCUAAUACACUCCUUUGUUAAUACAGCAGAUCCUUGAAUAACAUCAUUUUGUGCAAGAUCGUUUCAUGAUCACAUUGAUGAGUCCAGGCAUGGUGGCUCAUGCCCGUAAUUCCAACACUCUGGGAGGCCAAGGCAGGAGGAUUGCUUGAGCCCAGGAGUUUGAGACCAGCCUGAGCAACAUAGUGAGACCCCAUCCCUACAAAAAUAUUAAAAAUUAGCUGGGCAUGGUGGUGCACACCUGUGAUCCCAGCUACCCAUGAGGCUGAGAUGGGAGGAUCACUUGAGCCUGGGUGGUCGAGGCUGCAGUGAGCCAUGAUCACACCACUGCACUCCACCCUGGGCGAGACCUCAUCUCAAAAAAAAAAAAAAAAAUCCGCUUGAGGCCAGGGCCACUGUCUGUGUGGGUUUCUUCCAGAUACCCUGGUUUCCUCCCACAUCCCAAAGCUGUGCAGGUGAGGUUCAUUUGCAAGCCUGCAGUCUGAGUGAGUGUCGGGGUGUGUGAGUGUGCCCUGCAAUGGGAUGGUGUCCUGUGUGCUGUCCAGAGCUGAUUCCUGCCUUGUGCCAGGAUAGGCUCCGGCCACCUGUAACCCUGAACUGGAAUAAGCGGGAGUACAUAUCUUGUUUUUAUUAAUCUUUAUUUUCUUUUCUUUGAGACAAAGUCUCACUCUGUGCAGGCUGGAGUGCAGUGCCACAGUCUCGGGUCACUGCAGCCUUGACCCCCACCCCACUGGCUCAAGCAAUCUUCCAACUUCAGCCUCCUGAGUAGCUGGGACUACAGGCGUGCACCCCCAUGCCUGGCUAAGUUUUGUAUUUUUUUGUAGAGAUGGGGUUUCACCAUGUUGCCCAGGCUGGUCUCAAACUCCUGAGCUCAAGUGAUCUGCCCUCCUUGACCUCCCAAGGUGCUGAAAUUACAGGUAUGAGCCACCGUGCCCAGCCUAAUCUUUCUUAAAUGUAUGCAUAGCUUACACUUAUUUCAAUGUUUAAUAUUAGAAGUGUUUUGGUCUUUGUUUAGAAGUUCGUUGAUGUUUUGUGACCAGAAAUAUGCCAUAGAAACUUAACUCUUGUUUAUAUCAAUUAGCCUAUGGUAAAAUUGAUUACAUGACACAUCCUUUUGCUUAAAGUUGCAGUUUCCAAAAACCUAACAGUGAUAAAAAUGAGGACUUGCUAUAUAGCAUUUCCAAACUAAUUUAACCCUAAAAACCUUUUUUGUUAUAUAUCCAUUGACACUCAGGAAACACAAUUUGGGAAACUCUGGCUCAGGAAAAAGAGGUUAGAAGUCCAUCCGACUUACAAAGGGGAACCAGAGAUGUUAGCAGGAGGAUUUUUAGGUUGCAUGGUCCCCAUUUCCCUACCCCUCACCCGUCUCUGGGUAGCUGGUUCUGAAUGGAUUGACAUUUACUUAGCAGAGAAUGCAAUCAAAAUUCUAGUUUCCCUUUCAUCCAGUUUUUUCACCACCAAGAAACUAUGCAGGAAAGGGCUAAAAUUAGGGGCAAAAGCCUAUGGCAACAGCAAGGCAUAGUUUAGAGGCAGGAUUAAUGACUCUCACAAUCUUCGUCAUCUCCCCAAAUAAAC
Molecule: long non-coding RNA, 2626 nt
Filed under: Pan troglodytes (chimpanzee)
Lineage: Eukaryota; Metazoa; Chordata; Mammalia; Primates; Hominidae
Description: lncRNA (ENSPTRG00000054023.1)
Source: RNAcentral